AGCAGCCGCGGUAAUUCCAGCUCCAAUAGCGUAUAUUAAAGUUGUUGCAGUUAAAAAGCUCGUAGUUGAAUUUCGGGAUCGACAGGUUGGUCGCGCCUUCGGUGUGUACUGGUCUAGCCGGUUUCUCCCUUCUGACGAACCACGAUGUCAUUAAUUUGGUGUCGUGGGAAAUCAGGACUGUUACUUUGAAAAAAUUAGAGUGUUUAAAGCAGGCAUUAGCUUGAAUACAUUAGCAUGGAAUAAUGAAAUAGGACGUUUGAUCCUAUUUUGUUGGUUUCUAGGAUCGACGUAAUGAUUAAUAGGGAUAGUUGGGGGCAUUAGUAUUCAAUUGUCAGAGGUGAAAUUCUUGGAUUUAUUGAAGACUAACUACUGCGAAAGCAUUUGCCAAGGAUGUUUUCAUUAAUCAAGAACGAAAGUUAGGGGAUCGAAGACGAUCAGAUACCGUCGUAG
Molecule: ribosomal RNA, 450 nt
Filed under: uncultured Glomeromycotina
Lineage: Eukaryota; Fungi; Glomeromycota
Description: SSU rRNA
Rfam family: Eukaryotic small subunit ribosomal RNA
Source: RNAcentral